CCUACGGGAGGCAGCAGUGGGGAAUAUUGCACAAUGGGCGGAAGCCUGAUGCAGCGACGCCGCGUGAGGGAUGACGGCCUUCGGGUUGUAAACCUCUUUCAGCAGGGACGAAGCGUAAGUGACGGUACCUGCAGAAGAAGCACCGGCUAACUAUGUGCCAGCAGCCGCGGUAAUACGUAGGGUGCGAGCGUUGUCCGGAAUUACUGGGCGUAAAGAGCUCGUAGGCGGUUUGUCACGUCGUCUGUGAAAUCCUAGGGCUUAACCCUGGACGUGCAGGCGAUACGGGCUGACUUGAGUACUACAGGGGAGACUGGAAUUUCUGGUGUAGCGGUGGAAUGCACAGAUAUCAGGAAGAACACCGAUGGCGAAGGCAGGUCUCUGGGUAGUAACUGACGCUGAGGA
RNAcentral lists this ribosomal RNA (402 nucleotides) under uncultured Campylobacter sp. Its description in RNAcentral is "bacterial SSU rRNA". It matches the Rfam family "Bacterial small subunit ribosomal RNA", at positions 338 to 752 of the family's 1533-position model. Lineage: Bacteria; Pseudomonadati; Campylobacterota; Epsilonproteobacteria; Campylobacterales; Campylobacteraceae. The record is from RNAcentral.